Molecule: transfer RNA, 101 nt
Filed under: Annulohypoxylon nitens
Lineage: Eukaryota; Fungi; Ascomycota; Sordariomycetes; Xylariales; Hypoxylaceae
Description: tRNA-Val
Rfam family: tRNA
About the family: Transfer RNA (tRNA) molecules are approximately 80 nucleotides in length.
Source: RNAcentral
GGUCGACUGGUGUAGUGGUUAUCACGUCUGUCUUACAUUCGCACCUCUAUGGUGUAUUGUUAGUACACAGAAGGUCGCAGGUUCGAUCCCUGCGUCGAUCA